AUGAACGCUGGCGGCGUGCCUAAUACCUGCAAGUCGAGCGAACAGAUGAGGAGCUUGCUCCUCUGACGUUAGCGGCGGACGGGUGAGUAACCCGUGGAUAACCUACCUAUAAGCCUGGGAUAACUUCGGGAAACCGGAGCUAAUACCGGAUAAUAUAUUGAACCGCAUGGUUCAAUAGUGAAAGACGGUUUUGCUGUCACUUAUAGAUGGAUCCGCGCCGCAUUAGCUAGUUGGUAAGGUAACGGCUUACCAAGGCAACGAUGCGUAGCCGACCUGAGAGGGUGAUCGGCCACACUGGAACUGAGACACGGUCCAGACUCCUACGGGAGGCAGCAGUAGGGAAUCUUCCGCAAUGGGCGAAAGCCUGACGGAGCAACGCCGCGUGAGUGAUGAAGGUCUUCGGAUCGUAAAACUCUGUUAUUAGGGAAGAACAAAUGUGUAAGUAACUAUGCACGUCUUGACGGUACCUAAUCAGAAAGCCACGGCUAACUACGUG
RNAcentral lists this ribosomal RNA (496 nucleotides) under uncultured bacterium. RNAcentral's name for it is "partial 16S ribosomal RNA". It matches the Rfam family "Bacterial small subunit ribosomal RNA", at positions 29 to 507 of the family's 1533-position model. The record is from RNAcentral.